UGUCCUGAUGAUACUGAUAAUAGGAAGUGCCGUCAGAAGCGAUAACUGACGAUGUUUGUGCCCGUCUGACC
This 71-nucleotide small nucleolar RNA is filed under the name Procavia capensis (Cape rock hyrax). Its description in RNAcentral is "Small nucleolar RNA SNORD49 (ENSPCAG00000019129.1)". It matches the Rfam family "Small nucleolar RNA SNORD49". Rfam says of the family: U49 belongs to the C/D class of snoRNA which contain the C (UGAUGA) and D (CUGA) box motifs. Most of the members of the box C/D family function in directing site-specific 2'-O-methylation of substrate RNAs. Lineage: Eukaryota; Metazoa; Chordata; Mammalia; Hyracoidea; Procaviidae. The record is from RNAcentral.